AGGAAUUUGUACGGUGGAUGUUACAAAAAGUACAUCUACUGCUGUCAGCAGCAGCCCCUUUGCUUCAUCAGCCUUUCAAGAAAGGCAGAAGGGAAAACACAAGGGUGAAGAGGAAGCACAGGAAGAGGUGUCAGUGGGUGAAGCCCCUCUUGCAAAGAAGAUUGAGGCUUGGACAGUAUGAUAACCUGAUGAAUGUGCU
This is a long non-coding RNA of Amblyraja radiata (thorny skate), 199 nucleotides long. RefSeq lists it as uncharacterized. The transcript is spliced from 3 exons. The record is from RefSeq and is a predicted model, not a curated record. Lineage: Eukaryota; Metazoa; Chordata; Chondrichthyes; Rajiformes; Rajidae.